This 468-nucleotide ribosomal RNA is filed under the name uncultured bacterium. RNAcentral describes it as "partial 16S ribosomal RNA". It matches the Rfam family "Bacterial small subunit ribosomal RNA", at positions 28 to 507 of the family's 1533-position model. The record is from RNAcentral.
GACGAACGCUGGCGGCGUGCUUAACACAUGCAAGUCGAACGGAAAGUCCCUGCUUUUGUGGGGUGCUCGAGUGGCGAACGGGUGAGUAACACGUGAGUAACCUGCCCUUGACUUUGGGAUAACUUCAGGAAACUGGGGCUAAUACCGGAUAGGAGCUCCUGCUGCAUGGUGGGGGUUGGAAAGUUUCGGCGGUUGGGGAUGGACUCGCGGCUUAUCAGCUUGUUGGUGGGGUAGUGGCUUACCAAGGCUUUGACGGGUAGCCGGCCUGAGAGGGUGGCCGGCCACAUUGGGACUGAGGUACGGCCCCGACUCCUACGGGAGGCAGCAGUGGGGAAUAUUGCACAAUGGGCAGAAGCCUGAUGCGGCAACGCCGCGUGCGGGAUGACGGCCUUCGGGUUGUAAACCGCUUUCGCCUGUGACGAAGCGUGAGUGACGGUAAUGGGUAAAGAAGCACCGGCUAACUACGUG